UAGGGCGACCAACUGUUUCUGUUUGUCCAGGGCUUUCAGUACUAGAACUGGGAGAGUCCCAGGCAAAACGGGACAGUUGGUCACCUUACCGGUGG
RNAcentral lists this microRNA precursor (95 nucleotides) under Marmota monax (woodchuck). The record is from RNAcentral. Lineage: Eukaryota; Metazoa; Chordata; Mammalia; Rodentia; Sciuridae.